UGCCUCUAAGGCAUUUAUGUCAAUAAUCUUUAUUGUUUGCUUUAAAAGUAUAAAUUUAUAUAUGUUUCAGUUAUAAAUAUAGUAAAAACGUUAAAAUAGUUUGAGAAGCUUUUAUUUUGAAGGCAGACAUGCUAGCAACAUCACUUCCUUGUUUACGUUCUCUUCCUGGUUGCUCUGAGAGGGAAAACUGACAUGCUGUUCAGGCUCUGAGGCCUAUCCAUAUUCCUAAAUCUUCCACUUGGAAACAUUGUUCAGGCAACGCCCCGAGCACGAGCUAACGCUACCUGAGCUAACAGCAUGGACGAACUUGAUGACGCUACGGUGUCAACUUUAAGAGCUGCAAACAUAAGUGAAGAAAUGAUCAGCACUCUGUCUCAAGAAGACCUGCGGCACCCUUUCCCAGGCCCAGAGAACUUCUUGCGAUGAAAAGCGAAGAGAGCUCACUGUGAGCCAAAACAUGACUGGUGUUCCAGCCAUACACUUAAUGCUGUGAAGUCUCAGUGUAACUGACUAAAUGCACUGGAUUGUAAGAACUGUUUACUCCUGCAUUUCAGAGCUAAAAAGGCAUAUUCUUUUUUAUGCAGAGAAAAUAAAAUAUUUGUUUGUUAAAUGCAA
Molecule: long non-coding RNA, 615 nt
Organism: Mugil cephalus (flathead mullet)
Lineage: Eukaryota; Metazoa; Chordata; Actinopteri; Mugiliformes; Mugilidae
Exons: 3
Source: RefSeq, a predicted model, not a curated record